This 408-nucleotide ribosomal RNA is filed under the name uncultured bacterium. RNAcentral's name for it is "partial 16S ribosomal RNA". It matches the Rfam family "Bacterial small subunit ribosomal RNA", at positions 28 to 526 of the family's 1533-position model. The record is from RNAcentral.
GACGAACGCUGGCGGCGUGCUUAACACAUGCAAGUCGAACGAAGUGGCGAACGGGUGAGUAAUACGUGGGUAACCUGCCCUCCUUUUUGGGAUAAGCCUUGGAAACGGGGUCUAAUACCGAAUAAAGGGGGAUGGGCUCGCGGCCUAUCAGCUUGUUGGUGGGGUGAUGGCCUACCAAGGCGGGGACGGGUAGCCGGCCUGAGCGGGUGCACUGCCACAUGGGGACUGAGAUGCGGCCCAGACUACGACGGGAGGGAGCAGUGGGGGAGAUUGAAGAAUGGGCGAACGACUGAUGCCGCGAGGCUGAGUGGGGGAUGAAGGCUGUCGGGUUGUAAACCUAUUUCGCUACAGAACGGGUAGGUAGAGAAGAAGCGCCGGCUAACUACGUGCCAGCAGCCGCGGUAAUAC